GCCUGUGGUAGCGGUUUCGGAUUGGCUGCAAUCCACCUGCCGCCUGCAUGGCAUGCAGGAGGUCGUCGGUUCAAGCCCGAUCGGCUCCA
This 89-nucleotide transfer RNA is filed under the name Phycisphaerales bacterium. Its description in RNAcentral is "tRNA-Ala". The record is from RNAcentral. Lineage: Bacteria; Pseudomonadati; Planctomycetota; Phycisphaerae; Phycisphaerales.